CUUGCCUGCUGCAUGUCCCUGACAACUCAGUGUCUCUGGGUCUCAAUUUCUUCCUGUGUUAGAGAAAAAGCAGGACAGGUAACGUAGCCACCCUGCCAGGCACCAUGAGUCUGCUGCACACAGAUGCUUCAAGUCAUGGAGAUCACAGGCUGCUGAGGACUGAGCUUGUGCCCAGAGUCCCCUGACCAGCUACGGGAUUUCCUGCCUGCUCUCCGUGCCUCAGUUUCCUCAUCACUCAAAUGGAUCAAAGACGAUCUAGUGUUCCAGCAUUGAGAGAGACGACAAAACGCUCAGGGACAGUUGGAAGCCGCUGCCCGGGUCAGCAAGGCCAAAACCAGCAGGAAGCACCGGGCAGUGCGGCACUCUAGUCAAGAAAGGACAGCCUACCGCCCCGCGCUGGAGGGAAGGUAGGGACUCCGGAAGGGGAUGGUGGCAAUCUGCUGUAGAAGCCAGUGCCUCCAGCCACCUGGGGUUGACCCUGAGGAAAGCCUCUGCCUUUGCAAUCCUGAAGUCAAGGGGGGAAACGAAGACCCGGCGAAAGCUGAAGGGUCUGGAGGAGGAAAGAGUUUCCUGGUCUCCUGGGGAGGAGGCCGAAAGGCUCAUGCGGCGACCAGAGAGCCCAGCUCGGCUCCGAAUUUUCACUUCGUGGCGGCCGGUGAAGAACUGAACAACAAACAUUUUUUUAAAAAAAGACUAAGUGAGGCCAGGCCGCCAAGAUUAGUCCUGCGGUGUCGAGAUCGCCUGGCCCGCGCAGGGGUGGUGCGCCCUCCCCUAGCGUAAUGGCAUCCGCCCGGGCUCUCCAGGUUUCGGGGUUUCUUGAUGAGUGUCUGCUUGGGAGGCAGCGGGAGCAGAGACCCCCCCCCCCCCCCCGCCCAGAGAAGUCCUCUCACCCCGAGCCGGUUUGCAAACUCGAACGUGUGCCAGGGCGCCCUGCGUUGGGUGAUAGCCAGGGGCAGCGUGGAACCAGCGCGAGAGUCCGCCCCCCUCGCGAUGCCCUCGGGCAGUGUGCCCGGGGCGGGGGUGGGGCGCGGUGGGGGUAGAGGGCCGCGCGGGCCCAAGUUCCGAAAUCCACCCAGACUGUAUAACUUAUCGACUGUGACUUUUUUCUCUCUUUCUAAAGUGCGGGCUAAUUUGACAAGAUCGGUUCUCCGCGCCUUGACAAUUCUUGUCUCCAGCCGCGGAAUUGCGGGGGGUGGGCGCAGGUACCCCUUGGAGGCCUUGCCACCUGAGGCCCCAAGGUGCCUCCCAGAACCUCAGGCCCGCGUGCCUGGUGGGGGUGCAGCGGGGUCCAAAUGGGAGUUCGAUGUUUGGCUUCUGGGCACGGUGUUUUCAGUCUCUCGCGUGUUUAACUGGAUUUGAUACAUAUUUUCACUCUUCUCACGUUUCCUCUCCGAAUCUACCCUUCCGCCUGGAGCGCCUCUAAUCCCCGCGAAUCUCAGGCGGGGCGCAGCGAGCGAUUGCGGUUGAGGACACGUUGGGGACGCGGCUGAAGCGUCCGGGGAAGCGAGCGGCCGCGGGGAGUCAGCGAGCCGGGUCUGCAACUCAGUACCUGCCACAGCCAAUGCCUCUGCGGAUCUCCGGGCAACUGGUGUCUCAGCUGCCUACCUUCCCGCCCACUGCUCGGGAAUCUCCUUCGAAGGAAGUCUGAGUAAAAGAAGCAGAUCUACUGUGUAAAAUAAACAGAUCUACUUCGGAGUCAGAUUUGUUCUUCCCUAUUACAGAACAGUGAUGAGGCAGAGAACUAGGGUGUAAUUUGUUUGCCCCUCCUCCCACCCCAGGGAAUGUGUUUCCACCCAGGCCAUUGGAGCCCAGAACCCCGCUUGGAACCUCCUGGAGGACAGUGAUUGGCACCCGGACAGCACCCAAUCCAGGGAGGCACAUCUUGAAGUUUUAAGGAAAAUCGGACUUGUCCCAGCAUGUCCCAGUCCCACCCACUUGCUAUUUCCCUUUAUGAGUUUAAUUUUGAAAUUGCUGGGUGACGCCAACAACAUUCGUCCCCGGAAGCACUUUUAUUAGAACUGAAAUCUUCCAAGCUUGCAUUGACUACUUUAAGACUCUGCGGACGGUAAUGAAUAUGGAUGGCCGGAAGUUUCCUAUGAAUAUGGAGGAGUGGGUGGGGGCAUGUGGCGGAUGGAUUACUCUUUCACAUUAACCACUGGUAACCUUUCCUCCUGUCUGACUUCCCCUGCAAUAUUAUCCUGAGAAGGGUCAGCCCUAAAUGCUUUUUUGCAAAACACGAUUAGUCACUUUUGGCCACAUGUGCUUGCCCCAGACCUUAUUUGCCAUCCUAUAUAAUUAUUAGAGGAUCUUCUAAUUUUAUUUGAAAUUCCAAGUUGACACAUGGGUCAAAGUGCCUUGACCCAGCAUUGUGUUUAAUUUCUCUUUUGUUAGCCUCAUUUGGGCUGCUAAAGAAUUACACUCAAAGGAAUCAUUUACCCUGUUCACUUUCUCAUUGCCACGGUUACCUGUUGGAGCUGUGAAUCACAGCCUUGAGGAUUCCCUAUGAGAAGGUCCUGUGCCUAUUCUCCGUCACAGGUACACGUGAGGGCCUAUCUAGGUGGCUUGGUCAUAGCUUGAAACUACAGGUCAUGGUGUUUAGAGCUCGUUUUGCACCUGCUGUUCCCUCUGUCUACAAUGCUUUUGCCUUCUCUUCAUCUGCUUGGUGAACUCCCUCUGAUUGCACAUAUAUAAUUUUUUAAAUUGAAGUAUAGUUGAUUUACCAUGUUAUGUUAAUUUCAGGUAUAUAGCAAAGGAAUUCAGUUAUAUAUAUUAUUAAAUUUUUUUUUGAU
Molecule: long non-coding RNA, 2789 nt
Organism: Bubalus bubalis (water buffalo)
Lineage: Eukaryota; Metazoa; Chordata; Mammalia; Artiodactyla; Bovidae
Exons: 4
Source: RefSeq, a predicted model, not a curated record